This 422-nucleotide unclassified non-coding RNA is filed under the name uncultured fungus. RNAcentral describes it as "partial contains small subunit ribosomal RNA, internal transcribed spacer 1, and 5.8S ribosomal RNA". The stretch from base 1 to 73 matches the Rfam family "Eukaryotic small subunit ribosomal RNA", at positions 1759 to 1831 of the family's 1831-position model. The record is from RNAcentral. Lineage: Eukaryota; Fungi.
UCAAACUUGGUCAUUUAGAGGAAGUAAAAGUCGUAACAAGGUCUCCGUAGGUGAACCUGCGGAGGGAUCAUUACUGAAUGGCCCUUUGGGCCUUCAAACCCUCAAACCUGUGGACUUUACACCGUGCUUCGGCGCCGCCCUAGGGCGGUGCCGCCUUUAUGCAUCGAGUCUGAUGUUGUCGGAUUGCUUUGAAGAUUGAAAACUUUCAACAAAGGAUCUCUUGGCUCUCCUGCGGAGGGAUCAUUACUGAAUGGCCCUUUGGGCCUUCAAACCCUCAAACCUGUGGACUUUACACCGUGCUUCGGCGCCGCCCUAGGGCGGUGCCGCCUUUAUGCAUCGAGUCUGAUGUUGUCGGAUUGCUUUGAAGAUUGAAAACUUUCAACAAAGGAUCUCUUGGCUCUCGCAUCGAUGAAGAACGCAGC